GUGGUGGGGCCGAUGGUCGCGGAUGGCCGGCUUCAGGGGCCACCCGAGGAAAGUCCGAGCUCCACAGGGCAGACCGCCAGGUAACGCCUGGGCGCCGGCACGGCAACCCCCGGUCGGAGCAAGGCCAAAUAAGCAGCGAGACCCGGCCCGGGUCGUUCGAGCUGCGGGUAGGCCGCACGAGAUGGCUGGCGACAGUCAUCCCAGAGAGAUGACCAUCUGCUCGUACCAACGAGUAAACAGAACUCGGCUUAUGGUCCCACCACUUCC
This 267-nucleotide RNase P RNA is filed under the name Gemmatimonadetes bacterium 13_2_20CM_2_65_7. Its description in RNAcentral is "RNase P RNA component class A". It matches the Rfam family "Bacterial RNase P class A". Rfam says of the family: Ribonuclease P (RNase P) is a ubiquitous endoribonuclease, found in archaea, bacteria and eukarya as well as chloroplasts and mitochondria. Its best characterised activity is the generation of mature 5'-ends of tRNAs by cleaving the 5'-leader elements of precursor-tRNAs. The record is from RNAcentral. Lineage: Bacteria; Pseudomonadati; Gemmatimonadota.